GUGGAUUAGAUACCCUAGUAGUCCACGCCUUAAACGAUGAGAGCUAGUUGUCAGUAAGCAUGCUUAUUGGUGACGCAGCUAACGCAUUAAGCUCUCCGCCUGGGGAGUACGGCCGCAAGGUUAAAACUCAAAGAAAUUGACGGGGGCCCGCACAAGCGGUGGAGCAUGUGGUUUAAUUCGAAGCAACGCGCAGAACCUUACCCACCUUUGACAUCCCGUGCUAUCUAGAGAGAUCUAGAGUCCCUUCGGGGCGCGGAGACAGGUGCUGCACGGCCGUCGACAACU
RNAcentral lists this ribosomal RNA (285 nucleotides) under uncultured bacterium. RNAcentral's name for it is "partial 16S ribosomal RNA". It matches the Rfam family "Bacterial small subunit ribosomal RNA", at positions 773 to 1060 of the family's 1533-position model. The record is from RNAcentral.